CAGCCGCCGCGGUAAUACGAAGGGGGCUAGUGCUGUUCGGAUUUACUGGGCGUAAAGCGCACGUAGGCGGACUUUUAAGUCAGGGGUGAAAUCCCGGGGCUCAACCCCGGAACUGCCUUUGAUACUGGGAGUCUUGAGUCCGGGAGAGGUGAGUGGAACUGCGAGUGUAGAGGUGAAAUUCGUAGAUAUUCGCAAGAACACCAGUGGCGAAGGCGGCUCACUGGCCCGGUACUGACGCUGAGGCGCGAAAGCGUGGGGAGCAAACCGGAUUAGAUACCCCAGUAGUCCCUGUCUCUUAUAC
This 301-nucleotide ribosomal RNA is filed under the name uncultured bacterium. RNAcentral's name for it is "partial 16S ribosomal RNA". It matches the Rfam family "Bacterial small subunit ribosomal RNA", at positions 509 to 807 of the family's 1533-position model. The record is from RNAcentral.